AGUGAGCGCCUACGGGAAGCAGCAGUGAGGAAUAUUGGUCAAUGGGCGAGAGCCUGAACCAGCCAAGUCGCGUGAGGGAAGACGGUCCUAUGGAUUGUAAACCUCUUUUGCCGGGGAGCAAAGAGCGGCACGUGUGCCGCGCCGAGAGUACCCGGAGAAAAAGCAUCGGCUAACUCCGUGCC
RNAcentral lists this ribosomal RNA (182 nucleotides) under uncultured bacterium. RNAcentral describes it as "partial 16S ribosomal RNA". It matches the Rfam family "Bacterial small subunit ribosomal RNA", at positions 330 to 509 of the family's 1533-position model. The record is from RNAcentral.